AUUGAACGCUGGCGGCAUGCCUAACACAUGCAAGUCGAACGGCAGCACAGCAGUAGCAAUACUGUGGGUGGCGAGUGGCGGACGGGUGAGGAAUACGUCGGAAUCUGCCCAGUCGUGGGGGAUAACUAGCCAAAAGGUUAGCUAAUACCGCAUACGACCGAGAGGUGAAAGCGGGGGACCGCAAGGCCUCGCGCGAUUGGAUGAGCCGACGUCGGAUUAGCUAGUUGGCGGGGUAAAGGCCCACCAAGGCGACGAUCCGUAGCUGGUCUGAGAGGAUGAUCAGCCACACUGGAACUGAGACACGGUCCAGACUCCUACGGGAGGCAGCAGUGGGGAAUAUUGGACAAUGGGCGAAAGCCUGAUCCAGCCAUGCCGCGUGUGUGAAGAAGGCCUCGG
Molecule: ribosomal RNA, 396 nt
Filed under: uncultured bacterium
Lineage: Bacteria
Description: bacterial SSU rRNA
Rfam family: Bacterial small subunit ribosomal RNA
Source: RNAcentral